RNAcentral lists this unclassified non-coding RNA (362 nucleotides) under soil metagenome. RNAcentral describes it as "partial contains 5.8S ribosomal RNA, internal transcribed spacer 2, and large subunit ribosomal RNA". The stretch from base 1 to 120 matches the Rfam family "5.8S ribosomal RNA", at positions 35 to 154 of the family's 154-position model. The record is from RNAcentral.
GAUGAAGAACGUAGCGAAAUGCGAUAAGUAAUGUGAAUUGCAGAAUUCAGUGAAUCAUCGAAUCUUUGAACGCACCUUUCGCUCCUUGGUAUUCCGAGGAGCAUGCCUGUUUGAGUGUCAUUAAUAUAUCAACCUUCUCUUUUUUGAGUUGUUUGGAUGUGGGGGUUUGCUGGCCUCUUAAAUGAUUCAGCUCCCCUGAAAUGCAUUAGCAGAACAACCUGUUCAUUAGCGUGAUAAUUAUCUAUGCUAUUGAAUGUGAGGGCAGUUCAGCUUUCUAACCGUCCUUGGACAAUUCAUCAUUAAUGUGACCUCAAAUCAGGUAGGACUACCCGCUGAACUUAAGCAUAUCAAUAAGCGGAGGA